GCCUACGGGAGGCAGCAGUAAGGAAUAUUGGUCAAUGGACGCAAGUCUGAACCAGCCAUGCCGCGUGGAGGAUGAAGGUCCUCUGGAUUGUAAACUUCUUUUAUAUGGGACGAAAAUGGGUCUUUCCAGAUCAACUGACGGUACCAUAUGAAUAAGCACCGGCUAACUCCGUGCCAGCAGCCGCGGUAAU
This 190-nucleotide ribosomal RNA is filed under the name uncultured Bacteroidota bacterium. RNAcentral's name for it is "uncultured Bacteroidetes bacterium partial 16S ribosomal RNA". It matches the Rfam family "Bacterial small subunit ribosomal RNA", at positions 337 to 524 of the family's 1533-position model. The record is from RNAcentral. Lineage: Bacteria; Pseudomonadati; Bacteroidota.